Molecule: ribosomal RNA, 465 nt
Filed under: uncultured bacterium
Lineage: Bacteria
Description: partial 16S ribosomal RNA
Rfam family: Bacterial small subunit ribosomal RNA
Source: RNAcentral
CCUACGGGAGGCAGCAGUAGGGAAUCUUCCACAAUGGGCGAAAGCCUGAUGGAGCAACGCCGCGUGGGUGAAGAAGGUCUUCGGAUCGUAAAACCCUGUUGUUAGAGAAGAAAGUGCGUGAGAGUAACUGUUCACGUUUCGACGGUAUCUAACCAGAAAGCCACGGCUAACUACGUGCCAGCAGCCGCGGUAAUACGUAGGUGGCAAGCGUUAUCCGGUUUUAUUGGGCGUAAAGGGAACGCAGGCGGUCUUUUAAGUCUGAUGUGAAAGCCUUCGGCUUAACCGGAGUAGUGCAUUGGAGACUGGGAGACGUGAGUGCAGAAGAGGAGAGUGGAACUCCAUGUGUAGCGGUGAAAUGCGUAGAUAUAUGGAAGAACACCAAUGGCGAAAGCGGCUCUCUGGUCUGUAACUGACGCUGAGGUUCGAAAGCGUGGGUAGCAAACAGGAUUAGAUACCCCUGUAGUC